This 492-nucleotide ribosomal RNA is filed under the name uncultured bacterium. RNAcentral's name for it is "partial 16S ribosomal RNA". It matches the Rfam family "Bacterial small subunit ribosomal RNA", at positions 29 to 507 of the family's 1533-position model. The record is from RNAcentral.
AUUGAACGCUGGCGGCAUGCUUUACACAUGCAAGUCGAACGGUAACAGGCCUUCGGGUGCUGACGAGUGGCGAACGGGUGAGUAAUGCAUCGGAACGUACCCAGAGGUGGGGGAUAACGCAGCGAAAGCUGUGCUAAUACCGCAUGUGAUCUGAGGAUGAAAGCGGGGGACCGAGCAGCAAUGUUUGGCCUCGCGCCUUUGGAGCGGCCGAUGUCGGAUUAGCUAGUUGGUGGGGUAAAGGCCUACCAAGGCGACGAUCCGUAGCUGGUCUGAGAGGACGACCAGCCACACUGGGACUGAGAAACGGCCCAGACUCCUACGGGAGGCAGCAGUGGGGAAUUUUGGACAAUGGGCGCAAGCCUGAUCCAGCAAUGCCGCGUGCGGGAAGAAGGCCUUCGGGUUGUAAACCGCUUUUGGCAGGAACGAAACGGUGUCCGCUAAUACCGGGCGCUAAUGACGGUACCUGCAGAAUAAGCACCGGCUAACUACGUG